AUUGAACGCUGGCGGCAUGCCUUACACAUGCAAGUCGAACGGCAGCACGGGUGCUUGCACCUGUUGGCGAGUGGCGAACGGGUGAGUAAUACAUCGGAACAUGUCCUGUAGUGGGGGAUAGCCCUGCGAAAGCCGGAUUAAUACCGCAUACGAUCUACGGAUGAAAGCGGGGGACCUUCGGGCCUCGCGCUAUAGGGUUGGCCGAUGGCUGAUUAGCUAGUUGGUGGGGUAAAGGCCUACCAAGGCGACGAUCAGUAGCUGGUCUGAGAGGACGACCAGCCACACUGGGACUGAGACACGGCCCAGACUCCUACGGGAGGCAGCAGUGGGGAAUUUUGGACAAUGGGCGAAAGCCUGAUCCAGCAAUGCCGCGUGUGUGAAGAAGGCCUUCGGGUUGUAAAGCACUUUUGUCCGGAAAGAAAUCCUUGGCCCUAAUACGGUCGGGGGAUGACGGUACCGGAAGAAUAAGCACCGGCUAACUACGUG
This 486-nucleotide ribosomal RNA is filed under the name uncultured bacterium. RNAcentral describes it as "partial 16S ribosomal RNA". It matches the Rfam family "Bacterial small subunit ribosomal RNA", at positions 30 to 507 of the family's 1533-position model. The record is from RNAcentral.